GCCAGUGUGGCAAAGUGGUUUGAGUGCUGAACUUCGAUUCUGGAGACCAGGGUUCGAUUCCCAGAUCAGCCA
Phrynosoma platyrhinos (Desert horned lizard) is the source of this 72-nucleotide non-coding RNA. NCBI's taxonomy places the organism in Eukaryota, Metazoa, Chordata, Lepidosauria, Squamata, Phrynosomatidae. The record is from the annotation of a GenBank genome assembly.